RNAcentral lists this non-coding RNA (90 nucleotides) under pig gut metagenome. RNAcentral's name for it is "TPP riboswitch (THI element)". It matches the Rfam family "TPP riboswitch aptamer (THI element)", at positions 11 to 88 of the family's 105-position model. Rfam says of the family: Vitamin B(1) in its active form thiamin pyrophosphate (TPP) is an essential coenzyme that is synthesised by coupling of pyrimidine and thiazole moieties in bacteria. The previously detected thiamin-regulatory element, thi box was extended, resulting in a new, highly conserved RNA secondary structure, the THI element, which is widely distributed in eubacteria and also occurs in some archaea. Analysis of operon structures identified a large number of new candidate thiamin-regulated genes, mostly transporters, in various prokaryotic organisms. The record is from RNAcentral.
GCGGGGAGCCGGAUACAUCCGGCUGAGAGGGAAGGUUACAACUUCCGACCCAUUGACCUGAUUUGGAUCAUGCCAACGUAGGGAUAGUCU